GUGGGUGCAGCUCCCAGGAGACCCCAGAGGGCAGCCCCACCAUUUCUUCCCUAGGGGUGGGAGGAGAUUAGCAGCACCUCCUAUUUGCCUUUGGAUACAAUGGAGUUGCCUGGAUGGUAUUGGGAGGCAAUGCUUCCACUCUGUUUCUUGGUGGUUGCAGGCUGCUUGAUCUCCAGCCUCCAACAACCUUUAUCUCUCACAUCACUGUUCUCUUCAGUCUACCUCAGCUUCUCCAAGAACUUGAGCAUAAUCUGCCAUUGUCUCCACAAACUCACCACAGUGGUGCCCCUCUCCAUGGCUGAAUGUUGCCCCCAACUGUUAGUCUCCCAGCAUUCCAGUUCCCUUAGAAACAGUUGCCAAGACUGCACAAAACCCUCCGCACUCACAAUACUUCUUAUGACCUGGUCCCCCCCCAUCCAACUGGCCUUAUGGAUCAUAUUAAAACAACAGCAAGAACAUUAAGCAACCUAACUGAAGCACGUGAAUAGAUGCAUCUUCUGCCACAAAAGCGAAGGAGAAAAUGUGUCUCAGGAGCAUCCGUGUGUCCUCACAGGUGUUCUAGAAGGAACGUUCUGGAAUCAACAGAGCAACUGAAAUACAACUGUUGAGAUUUUUUCCAGUAACUUUUCUGCUGCCCAAACUCUGGAGGCAGCCUUGAAGUUUUUAAUGUUUGAUUUUUUGUGUGUGUUUUUAUUAUUUUGUUGGGAGCUGCCAAGUCAGAUGGGUGGCAUAUAAACAAUAAAAAUA
Long non-coding RNA from Podarcis raffonei (Aeolian wall lizard), 747 nucleotides. RefSeq lists it as uncharacterized. The record is from RefSeq and is a predicted model, not a curated record. The transcript is spliced from 2 exons. NCBI's taxonomy places the organism in Eukaryota, Metazoa, Chordata, Lepidosauria, Squamata, Lacertidae.